Non-coding RNA from Vicia faba (fava bean), 183 nucleotides. The record is from the annotation of a GenBank genome assembly. NCBI's taxonomy places the organism in Eukaryota, Viridiplantae, Streptophyta, Magnoliopsida, Fabales, Fabaceae.
AUGCUAACGGAGAAUGACUUUUUGAAUCUGAGCAGAAUCAUGAUGAUUGUGCAGAGGCAGCUACGGUUGUCUCUGGAUUUGAAGGGGAGACAAUCAGAUUGUGGCAGUUUUGACGGUGGAUCUUUGGCGACGUUGUUUUUCUAUGUAAAACGAAGGGCUCUCAUCGACGUUUGCAUCGGCUGA